CAGCCGCCGCGGGAAUACGAAGGGGGCUAGCGUUGUUCGGAAUUACUGGGCGUAAAGCGCACGUAGGCGGAUAUUUAAGUCAGGGGUGAAAUCCCGCAGCUCAACUGCGGAACUGCCUUUGAUACUGGGUAUCUUGAGUAUGGAAGAGGUUAGUGGAAUUGCGAGUGUAGAGGUGAAAUUCGUAGAUAUUCGCAGGAACACCAGUGGCGAAGGCGACCACCUGGACUGAUACUGACACUGAGGUGCGAAAGCGUGGGGAGCAAACAGGAUUAGAUACCCGAGUAGUCCCUGUCUCUUAUAC
This 301-nucleotide ribosomal RNA is filed under the name uncultured bacterium. RNAcentral's name for it is "partial 16S ribosomal RNA". It matches the Rfam family "Bacterial small subunit ribosomal RNA", at positions 509 to 807 of the family's 1533-position model. The record is from RNAcentral.